CAGCCGCCACGGGAAUACAGAGGGUGCGAGCGUUAAUCGGAUUUACUGGGCGUAAAGCGUGCGUAGGCGGCUUCUUAAGUCGGAUGUGAAAUCCCUGAGCUUAACUUAGGAAUUGCAUUCGAUACUGGGAAGCUAGAGUAUGGGAGAGGAUGGUAGAAUUCCAGGUGUAGCGGUGAAAUGCGUAGAGAUCUGGAGGAAUACCGAUGGCGAAGGCAGCCAUCUGGCCUAAUACUGACGCUGAGGUACGAAAGCAUGGGGAGCAAACAGGAUUAGAUACCCCGGUAGUCCCUGUCUCUUAUAC
Molecule: ribosomal RNA, 301 nt
Filed under: uncultured bacterium
Lineage: Bacteria
Description: partial 16S ribosomal RNA
Rfam family: Bacterial small subunit ribosomal RNA
Source: RNAcentral